This 294-nucleotide long non-coding RNA is filed under the name Hordeum vulgare. RNAcentral's name for it is "long non-coding RNA (HVUL_LNC002534)". Lineage: Eukaryota; Viridiplantae; Streptophyta; Magnoliopsida; Poales; Poaceae. The record is from RNAcentral.
UGACCAAUGCAUUAUUGAUCAAAAACAUUUUUUUACAGAUAAAGUGGAGGCAAGCCCACUGCACUUGGCGAGAAUUAAACUGCUUCGAGAAAGAUUAGAGUCGCUGGUCGUCUUGCAGAUUAUGUCCCAUUAAAGAAUCACUCACUAAGAAGUAGUGCCAACUUGAGCUCUGCAUGCAGCUCAAGCCUAUAAAAGCAACACAUACCUGUAUCUAAGACUAUCAAAGGCAACACCGUUGGAAAUUCAUGCAUGCCCACCAUGUUACAUACCAACAACAUGGCAUGUCCUCUGUUA